Schizosaccharomyces pombe (fission yeast) is the source of this 809-nucleotide non-coding RNA. The record is from the annotation of a GenBank genome assembly. Lineage: Eukaryota; Fungi; Ascomycota; Schizosaccharomycetes; Schizosaccharomycetales; Schizosaccharomycetaceae.
ACAAUCAUCACUUAUGUUGCUGUGAGCUCGAUUAUUAAUUAAGUUGGUACGUGAAGUUAACCUUCUAACUUACUACUGAAGCUGCUCAUAACUCAACCUCUUCCUCAGUCCAGUUGAGUUCUGUAGUGUUUUAAUUUCCCGAAAACAAAAAAAUUUUCCAAUAUCAUUAAAUAGGAUGUUGAGAAAAAGAAUAUGUGCCACAUAUAAAUAUCAUUGUUGAAUUGCUGACUUGACAAUUAAUGCUAGGCCUACGAUGCAAUAGUAAUCUAACCGUAAACAUAAUUUUACGAACGAUUAGUAUGUAAUUACUGGACUUUUAGAAGAAUUCUGAAUAUUCGCACAUAAAAAAUAUUAUUCGACAGAUUCCAUCGUUUCACAUGAGUUUACAUGAAAUGCGCUCAUUAUCAAAUUUGAUGUGAUGAACAUUAAUUAGAUAAAAAUGGUUUCAUUGUUAGUUGAAUGCGUUUGUUCCGAGUUUCUCCUUAACAAUAUACAGUUAAUGAUCUUAUUGUUGUUGCUGUUGAAGUACACAGCACUUAAGUACAACUUUUGAGUGCUCUAAACUUUAGCGUGACCAGCAAAAGAGAGGUCAAUACACUUAAAACCAAAAACGACUUUAUUCGAAUUCACUAAAAGGAUUUUUUAGAUUCUUGGUCCAGUACAGUGAAACGUAAAAUCUGAAAUAUUCAAGGAUUCGUGAAGAUUUGGAAGCAAAUAGUUUUUAAUCUCAUUAAAUAUAUAUUUUAUUUUUUAAAAAGAUUACAGAUUAUAGAAGCAUAGUUUUACGAAAUUGAAAGUUAGCAUUUUCG